UAAUAUUUUUACAGAUGUUUAUGUUUUUCUUAUGUUUAUGUUUUUUGUUGGGUUUUUUUUGUUGUUUUUUGUUUUUCUUCAAUGCAUGUGCCUGGUCACAAUGAAAUUCCCUCUCUCACCAACUAGAUCUGGGGGCGGACAGACAAUUCUCACACUUAUGACUAAUAAAAAAUUAUUAUUUUUUUUUUUUUACACAUUCCUUGGUUAUCAGUUUAGCCCACGGCACAUCACACACUAAUUAUACAUACAAACUGAUACCUAAUUAACACUUGACAAACAUGCAUGCCAUCAAACCACAUGACGUCAACUAUUCAAGAACAACUCACUAAAACUGGACUUCAGGGGCCCAACACCCAUGCAUUCUUGUACACGCACAUUUG
Molecule: non-coding RNA, 380 nt
Organism: Paramuricea clavata
Lineage: Eukaryota; Metazoa; Cnidaria; Anthozoa; Malacalcyonacea; Plexauridae
Source: the annotation of a GenBank genome assembly